UACGGGGGGGGCAAGCGUUGUUCGGAAUUACUGGGCGUAAAGCGCGCGUAGGCGGCUUUUCAAGUCAGGCGUGAAAGCCCCGGGCUCAACCCGGGAACUGCGCUUGAUACUGUUGAGCUAGAGUGUGGAAGGGGCUACUGGAAUUCCGUGUGUAGCGGUGAAAUGCGUAGAUAUCGGAAGGAACACCAGUGGCGAAAGCGACUUCCUGGUCCAAUACUGACGUUCAUGUGCGAAAGCGUUGGGAGCAAACAGG
RNAcentral lists this ribosomal RNA (253 nucleotides) under uncultured prokaryote. RNAcentral's name for it is "partial 16S ribosomal RNA". It matches the Rfam family "Bacterial small subunit ribosomal RNA", at positions 524 to 776 of the family's 1533-position model. The record is from RNAcentral.